This is a non-coding RNA of Momordica charantia (bitter melon), 774 nucleotides long. The record is from RefSeq and is a predicted model, not a curated record. Lineage: Eukaryota; Viridiplantae; Streptophyta; Magnoliopsida; Cucurbitales; Cucurbitaceae.
UGACGUUCGGGCAGCUGCAGGCGGCAUCGAUACACGCGGGGCUGUGUUCGCGGCGUCCUUUCUCCGAUUCAACAAGCCUAACGACCUCGAACAACUUAGAUCCGUGAAACCCGCAAGGGACAUUGAAACGAAGCCGUUGGAGAUCGUAUUGGACGUUUUUCGCUGCUGCAAAAACGUGGACAGCAGCGUAUUGGUGGUGUUCGGCGAUUAUCUACAUCCGUUGAAACCCGAUUUAYGCUACCCACGUCUUGGCAAGCUAGAUCUAAUUUACCCACACCUAUACGAAGUCGUUUUGCGGUGUGAGGCCGACGCAACUUAAACACGUGGUUGAGUAAGUAGCACCAGGGGGCGAGUGCGUGCGUUAUUUAGCGUUAAUGGAAUGUUCUUGAUGCUGUUUUUUUUUUGUUUUUCUUGCUAAAAUAAUUUAAAUAAGCAUGUAAGGAUUGUUGGUUUGAAUUGUGAAUUCUAGCGAUCUUGUUGCCGUAUUUCUAUUAUUGAACACUUUUAAGGAAACAUGUUUCCUAUUCUUGUUGUUGUAGGUGAAUAGUAGAUUCUGAACUGUUGUAGUUAGAAGUAAUUGGCUCAUGACGUUGUGCUAAUGGGAUGUAGAUGAAAUGCUAGCUUGGUUAUAUCGAUAAUUUAAUUCAUAUUGUCUGGUUGUGAGCUGUUGGAUGAAUUUUGUUUAUUACGUGGAAAAGCAUGUUUGUAACGGCGCAGUGAUUUAGAAUGUGGGGGGUUUACUUGUAGGUGGUCACGGAAGGGUUAGUGAAGUGG